RNAcentral lists this ribosomal RNA (502 nucleotides) under uncultured bacterium. RNAcentral's name for it is "partial 16S ribosomal RNA". It matches the Rfam family "Bacterial small subunit ribosomal RNA", at positions 28 to 507 of the family's 1533-position model. The record is from RNAcentral.
GACGAACGCUGGCGGCGUGCUUAACACAUGCAAGUCGAACGGUGAAGGGGUCUGCUUUUGUGGGCCCUGGAUGAGUGGCGAACGGGUGAGUAACACGUGAGUAACCUGCCCCCUUCUUCUGGAUAACCGCAUGAAAGUGUGGCUAAUACGGGAUAUUCUGGGUCUGUCGCAUGAUGGGUCUGGGAAAGAUUGCGCCUUUGGGUGUUUUUGGUGGGGGAUGGGCUCGCGGCCUAUCAGCUUGUUGGUGGGGUGAUGGCCUACCAAGGCGGUGACGGGUAGCCGGCAUGAGAGGGUGGACGGUCACACUGGGACUGAGACACGGCCCAGACUCGUACGGGAGGCAGCAGUGGGGAAUAUUGCACAAUGGGCGCAAGCCUGAUGCAGCGACGCCGCGUGAGGGAUGGAGGCCUUCGGGUUGUAAACCUCUUUCGCCAGUGAAGCAGGCCUGCUCCUUGUGGGUGGGUUGACGGUAGCUGGAUAAGAAGCGCCGGCUAACUACGCG